Antechinus flavipes (yellow-footed antechinus) is the source of this 2214-nucleotide long non-coding RNA. RefSeq lists it as uncharacterized. NCBI's taxonomy places the organism in Eukaryota, Metazoa, Chordata, Mammalia, Dasyuromorphia, Dasyuridae. The record is from RefSeq and is a predicted model, not a curated record. The transcript has 3 exons.
UCAUUUCAGGUGAUCUCAUUUUUGCCCUUCCCACUUUCCUGCCCUUAGGCCACCGGCCAGUCAAGGGAGGGCUUUCUAAGGGUUUCUUGGCUCCUCCUGCCUGUGGGGACUUCGGAGGCUGGAGGAUGGAGAAGCAAUCGCUAUUGGGCCACCCAACUGACCGGGAGAGAACAGGAAGCUGAGGCAGGAGAGGGAACGACACCGGGCUGAAGGGCUAGUCGCCAGCGCCCUCUCGCCGUCCACUUCGGAGCUCUGGUCCAGGAUCAGCCUGAGCAGCGAGCGGCCCCACUGCUGUAGCUCCAGUCUGUUCCUGGCCAGACGCGCCUUUUUGGAGGAAGACUGCAGCCUAGCGAGGAGCGGCUAGCGGCGGCGGCAGCUUCCCGGCGGCGUGAUUGCGGUUCGAUCGCUGUUUGGUCAUCUGCAGGGUAAGGGAAUUGAAAAUUUGAAAAGAACUUCCAAAUCAUGUCAACAUAUACAUUGAUACUUGGUGAUUACAGUGUGAAGGAAACAAAAGCAAGAGCAUAAGGCAGAAUCUGAGCAACAGCAACAGCAGCAGCAUCUCCAGGAGAGCUGGACCAAGAGAAACAUCAAUCACAGCAAAGACAGAUAGUCCUGGUGUCUACUUUCAAGGACUCAGACCCUGGUUCCUGUCUAGGGGUCUGAAGACUAUCCCAGGAAGCUCUAGGGGUGAGCAGCAGACUUUAAGAAAGCAGACUUCCAGGAAAGAAGGCACACGAACAAGCUACCUACUACCAUUCCAAGUUUGUAGUGAAAGAAACUCAACCUGAAAAGUUCUGACUCCUGAACAGAAAUAGCAUCAAGACAAUGAUUUCAAGCAAGCAACAGAGAUUGGAGGAAAUAGAAAAACAGGAUGUGUACCUGCGGGAGAGAAAGAAGUACCGCUUCCACAUCAUUCCUGAUGGCAACUGCCUUUACAGAGCUGUCAGCAAAGCAAUCUAUGGGCACCAGAACCAGUACCAGGAGCUUCGGGAAAAGACUGUCAACUACAUGGCUAGGAACCUUGACCUCUUCAGACUUCUCAUUGAGGGUGAUGUGAAGGAAUUUCUCUUUAGAGCAGGACAGGAUAGCACAUGGGGGGGCUACCCAGAGAUGUUGGCCCUGGGACAUAUGCUCAAUGUCAACAUUCAUUUAACUCUAGGAGGCAGUUUGGGUAAUCCCACUAUAUCUACAACCAUUCACUCUUUGGGUCCAGAGGGCUCCCAUAGGAAAAGUAUUUGGCUCAGUUGGCUCAGUUAUGGGCACUAUGACACAGUUCUGGAUUACUCCCUUCCCAUAUUUGAGGAUGACAAUUUUUUGUGUGGGGGAGACAACAUUUUCUUUCUUUUUUUGUUUUUCAUUAUAUUUUUGUUCCUUUUUAUGUUCGGUUCCAAAUCUUCCUCCUCCCAGCCCCUUCCUCAACCAUUGAGAAGGCAAGAAAUAGGAUACCCAUUCUACAUAUAAAGUCACACUAAACAUAUUUCCUCGUUAGUCUAGAAUGGGAAAAAAGAAAAUGAAAGGAAGGAAAAAAUUUUGCUUCAAUUUGUACUAUGAGUCUAUCAGUUUUCUAUCUGGAGAUGAAUAGCAUUUUACAUCAUGAAUUCUUUGGAGUUGUGGUGGAUCACUGUAAUGAUCAGUUACUAAGUCUUUCACAGUUGAUUAUAUUUACAAUAUUGUUAUUACUAUGUAGAUUGUUCUGGUUUUACUCACUUCAUUUUAUAUCAGUUCAUAUAAUUCUUCCCAUGUUUUUAUGAGACUAUUCCCUUCAUCAUUUCUUAUAGCACAAUAGUAUUCCCAUUUAGAUACCACAGCUUUUUCAGCCACUCUCCAAUUGAAGGGUAUCCCCUCAGUUUCCAAUUUUGUGCCACCAAAAAGAGAGUUGUUGUAAAUAUUUUUGUACAUAUGGAUCCUUUUCCGUUUCUGUUGAUCUUAUGUAAUAGAUCUAGAAGGAGCUCAAAAGCUAUGUGCAGUUUUUUAGGGCAUAGUUCCAAAUAGUUCUUCAGAAUGGUUGGAUUUCAACCAUCCGUUACUAUCCCCAUUUUUCCAUAUCCCCUCCAGCAUUUCUCAGAGAAUAGCAAUUCUUGCAAAUAACAUGAAGCUAGAAGAAAAAAAGAAGAAAAGUUAUUUCAUUCUUGGAAUGCUAGACAUUGUGUUCAGUAAGGGACUGGCUUAAGGAGUCCUUACAAAAGAUUGUGUGUGUGUGUGUGUGUGUGUGUG